CCCGAGCCCGGCUGUGUCUCCAGCAGGAGCACCGGUUCGAGAAGGCGCUGCGGGAGAAGAAAGGCUUCAUCAUCAAGCGCAUGAAGGAGGACGGGGCCUGCCUGUUCCGGGCCGUGGCGGAUCAGGUGUACGGAGACCAGGAUAUGCACGAGGUGGUGAGGAAGCACUGCAUGGACUACCUG
This is a long non-coding RNA of Neopelma chrysocephalum (saffron-crested tyrant-manakin), 182 nucleotides long. RefSeq lists it as uncharacterized. The record is from RefSeq and is a predicted model, not a curated record. NCBI's taxonomy places the organism in Eukaryota, Metazoa, Chordata, Aves, Passeriformes, Pipridae. The transcript is spliced from 2 exons.